UUGAUCAAAUUCAGCGCUUA
This 20-nucleotide non-coding RNA is filed under the name Arabidopsis thaliana (thale cress). Lineage: Eukaryota; Viridiplantae; Streptophyta; Magnoliopsida; Brassicales; Brassicaceae. The record is from RNAcentral.